RNAcentral lists this ribosomal RNA (460 nucleotides) under uncultured bacterium. RNAcentral describes it as "partial 16S ribosomal RNA". It matches the Rfam family "Bacterial small subunit ribosomal RNA", at positions 338 to 795 of the family's 1533-position model. The record is from RNAcentral.
CCUACGGGAGACAGCAGUGAGGAAUAUUGGUCAAUGGACGAGAGUCUGAACCAGCCAAGUAGCGUGAAGGAUGACUGCCCUAUGGGUUGUAAACUUCUUUUAUAUGGGAAUAAAAUGUUCCACGUGUGGGUUUUUGUAUGUACCAUAUGAAUAAGGAUCGGCUAACUCCGUGCCAGCAGCCGCGGUAAUACGGAGGAUCCGAGCGUUAUCCGGAUUUAUUGGGUUUAAAGGGAGCGUAGGUGGAUUGUUAAGUCAGUUGUGAAAGUUUGCGGCUCAACCGUAAAAUUGCAGUUGAAACUGGCAGUCUUGAGUACAGUAGAGGUGGGCGGAAUGCGUGGUGUAGCGGUGAAAUGCUUAGAUAUCACGAAGAACUCCGAUUGCGAAGGCAGCUCACUGGACUGCAACUGACACUGAGGCUCGAAAGUGUGGGUAUCAAACAGGAUUAGAUACCCCUGUAGUC